This 449-nucleotide ribosomal RNA is filed under the name uncultured Leptolinea sp. Its description in RNAcentral is "bacterial SSU rRNA". It matches the Rfam family "Bacterial small subunit ribosomal RNA", at positions 919 to 1382 of the family's 1533-position model. The record is from RNAcentral. Lineage: Bacteria; Bacillati; Chloroflexota; Anaerolineae; Anaerolineales; Anaerolineaceae.
ACCCGCACAAGCAGCGGAGCGUGUGGUUUAAUUCGAUGCUACACGAAGAACCUUACCAGGGUUUGACAUGUUGGUGGUAGGAAUUCGAAAGAUGACCGACCCGUUCGGGGAGCCUUCACAGGUGCUGCAUGGCUGUCGUCAGCUCGUGUCGUGAGAUGUUCGGUUAAGUCCGCUAACGAGCGCAACCCUCGCUGUGUGUUACAAGUGUCACACGGGACUGCCGGUAUCAAGCCGGAGGAAGUGGGAUGACGUCAAGUCAGCAUGGCCUUUAUGUCCUGGGCUACACACACGCUACAAUGGUCGACACAAUAGGUAGCCAAGCCGCGAGGUGGAGCCAAUCCUUAAAGUCGGCCUCAGUUCAGAUUGUAGGCUGCAACCCGCCUGCAUGAAGAUGGAGUUGCUAGUAACCGCAGGUCAGCUAUACUGCGGUGAAUACGUUCCCGGGGCUU